CACUCUUGGGGAAUCUGCACCAUGGCCUGGUCUCUGAUCCUCCUCACCCUCCUCACUCAGAGCUCAGGUUCCUGGGCCCAGACUCCCCUGACUCAGCCUGCCUCAGGGUCUGGAUCUCCUGGACAGUCUGUCACCAUCUCCUGUGCUGGAAGCAGCAAUGAUGUUGGGUAUAGUAAUUAUGUCUCCUGGUACCAACAGCAACCGGGCAUGGUCCCCAAACUCCUGAUAUGUAAUGAUAAAAGUCGGCCCUCAGGGAUCCCUGAUCGCUUCUCUGGCUCCAAGUCUGGCAACACGGCCUCCCUGACCAUCUCUAGGCUCCAGGCUGAGGAUGAGGCUGAUUAUUACUGUGCUUCAUAUAGAAACCCUAGCACUCUCCACAGUGGUGCCAUCUCCCUGCAGGAGCAGCCUCCAGGGAAACCCUGA
This is a non-coding RNA of Phyllostomus hastatus (greater spear-nosed bat), 423 nucleotides long. NCBI's taxonomy places the organism in Eukaryota, Metazoa, Chordata, Mammalia, Chiroptera, Phyllostomidae. The record is from the annotation of a RefSeq genome assembly.